GAGGAAAAACCCUUCAUAUGCUUAUUCUUAUGGAAUCAAUUCUACCUGCUUUACAUGCUCCUACAUUUUAAAAAAUGCCUAGUGGACUUUUUACCUGACUGGAUUUAAAUGUUUGCAGGGCUAUAACAACCUUUUUUAACCUAGAAACCUCUUCAGAACUCCCUUUUGAAAUUCUUGUUGUGUUAAGUUUUUGUCAUGUUAAAACACAAAAUACCCUGGUCUUGUGCAAUCUGUUUCCGUUCUGUUGCCAGGGGUUGAACCGCUCACUUAUUUGCAAGCAUGUACAACUUACAUUGCAAAAUACUGCCUUGUAAACAGGAGUCUGCUGUUCUUCCCAUUUCUCACAGAAAACAGAAGAGAAAAAUCACCCAGCCAAGUACAGGAAACACAAGCUUGUGUCAUCAUCAUUGCCCAAGCUUUCUGGGUGCGAGGAGUGGCACUCAGGAGCACCUGGUAAUGGAGGGGAUGGGAGAGUUGCACAGAAGCAGGGAGGACCUGCUGGCAGGAUUGACCUUCCCCCAGAACCAGCACACCAAUGGACCCCACCCAGACACUGUACCUCUCUCAACCGCAACCACCAAUGUCCACAUUGUGUACAGUGCAGUGAAGACUUCUGCAAUGGAACAAAGGUCACCGUGCUCUUCCUGGAGAAGCCAAGAUGAAAACACAGAGAUGCACGCUGUGACCUAUACCACCCUGCACUUUCCAAAGAGUGACAGCACACAUAGCACGAAUGCCACUGACUCAAAGACACUGGACUGGAUCUACGCUAAAGUGUCAAAGCCACAGUGCCACAUGGAGAAUGGGACACAAGACUAUGAGAACGUGAAGGGCUUGAAUUUGAAGCAGACGAGCACAGAUACAGACACAAGUGAGGAUGACCAAGAAGUCAACUAUUCAGUCAUUUCCAUCAAGCAAAAUGCCAAUUACAAGGUCCAACAACACCAGUUCUCAGAUGUCAGUUCCAGUUCAGAUGAGGAAGACGAUGCAACACAGUACUCUGAUGUCAAGAUCUGAAUGAAAUUCAUAUCGUAUUUUUUCCAUGAUAAAUCUUGAAAGCGUUUCACACAUGCAUGGGCCAUGAGAGAACUAAGGAGGAAAAAAAUGUUUUCUUCAUCUUUGGCCUCUGAUGCCCAGUAACUAAUAUAUCUGUUUGAUUCAGUAUAGCCUACUUCUGCAUCUAUGAAAGCCUUGGGGCUUAAAAUAUGAUAUUGACCUCUGCUUAGGAUCUUGAUGGCAUGUACUCUGGAGCAUAAUGACUGUUGCUGUAAAUUCCGUUUACAAGGUCAGAGGAGUUUUCCACACACAGUCUACUUCCCCUUGAAACACAUUACCCUGAUUCGAAGGUUCAGCCUUUGCUGUUCCUUUCCUCACAUUGACUGAUAAUUUACUGCCUUCUGUUAGUUCCUUAUUUCAUUAGCAGCUCUGCCUCUUUUUACUUCUCAUUUUUAGUGUUGCAGAUUUAUUUUUUUAAUGAUAAAUUUCACAGGAACUACUAUAACAAAAAGGGGGGGCAUGGCGGCAUGGUGGCACAGUGGCAGGGAGGGCUUGGCUAGGUCCUGCUCUCUGGCAGGUCUGGGGUUCAAGCCCUACUUGGUGUGCCUUGCGGCGGACUGGUGUCCCAUCCUGGGUGUUUCUCCACCCCCUCCAGCCUUGUGCCCUGUGUUGCGGGGUCAGGAUCCGGCUUGCAGUGACCCUACUUGGGACAAGCGGUUUCAAAUUGCAUGUGUGUACUAUAAUAAACAGAAAAAAAGUGUUUUGUGCUCUGAAUAU
RNAcentral lists this long non-coding RNA (1773 nucleotides) under Scleropages formosus (Asian bonytongue). RNAcentral's name for it is "lncRNA (ENSSFOG00015028976.1)". The record is from RNAcentral. Lineage: Eukaryota; Metazoa; Chordata; Actinopteri; Osteoglossiformes; Osteoglossidae.